GGGCGAAAGCCUGACCCAGCAACGCCGCGUGAAGGAUGAAGUAUUUCGGUAUGUAACCUUCGACAGAAUGGGAAGAAUACCUGACGGUACCAUUUAUAAGGUCCGGCUAACUACGUGCCAGCAGACGCGGUAAUACGUAGGGACCAAG
This 148-nucleotide ribosomal RNA is filed under the name uncultured bacterium. RNAcentral describes it as "partial 16S ribosomal RNA". It matches the Rfam family "Bacterial small subunit ribosomal RNA", at positions 373 to 538 of the family's 1533-position model. The record is from RNAcentral.